Long non-coding RNA from Gallus gallus (chicken), 761 nucleotides. RefSeq lists it as uncharacterized. Lineage: Eukaryota; Metazoa; Chordata; Aves; Galliformes; Phasianidae. The transcript is spliced from 5 exons. The record is from RefSeq and is a predicted model, not a curated record.
GCCAUUUUGCUGCUCAUCAUAUUGCCAAGAAGCCAUAUCAUCAGCUUUUUCACAUUGCUUUAAUUGACUCACAUCUAGUAGCACCUGAACUUUGCCAGGAGGGAAGACUGUGAAGACUGUAAAACCUCUGGUCUUCAUUUUGCAGCACUGAGAGGUGGCUUGUUCCUUGAGAGUCAACUGUUUUCAUGCUAAAAACACUGGAUUGUCAAACUGUCAAAGUAACAGGCAUAUUGUGAAAAAGGAGUUGCUGGAGAAAGAUCCUUUGCUUUUUUGCAGUCACUGCUGAAGAAGGCUCUGAAUUUUGAAAGCAGCUUCAGAAAAGAACUUUACAAAAAGUAUAGGAAGUUCCCAACUACCUGACACUUAAUGCUGUGAAACUACUGCUGAGUUCUAAAAUGCAAGCCAACAUCCCAAAUCAAAGCCAAGAUAUGAGUACUACCUGCCUGCCAGGUAUGAAAUUCUAUACUGCGGUGACAGUGUUUCUAAUCAAGAAUUGUUGGACUAAAGAAGCAUCUCCCAUAUUCUCUCCCCCAUUGAGACACUGAAUGGCUGCUCUCAGAUCUCCCCAGAGCCUUCUCCAAGUUGAACAGCCCCAGCUCUCUCAGUCUGUUCUCAUAGGAGAUGUGUUUCAUCCGUUGGAACAUUUGUGUCCCUCCUCUGUUUGUGCACCAACAGGUCCAUGUCUCUCCUGUACUGAGGACUCCACAGUUGGAUGCAGUACUCCAGGUAAGGUCUCACCAGCACAGAGCAAAAGGGCAGGA